GCCUACGGCCAUACCACGUUGAACACACCGGUUCUCGUCCGAUCACCGAAGUUAAGCAACGUCGGGCCCGGUUAGUACUUGGAUGGGUGACCGCCUGGGAACACCGGGUGUUGUAGACA
This 119-nucleotide ribosomal RNA is filed under the name Pomacea canaliculata. Lineage: Eukaryota; Metazoa; Mollusca; Gastropoda; Architaenioglossa; Ampullariidae. The record is from RNAcentral.